This 793-nucleotide ribosomal RNA is filed under the name Bacillus velezensis. Its description in RNAcentral is "bacterial SSU rRNA". It matches the Rfam family "Bacterial small subunit ribosomal RNA", at positions 64 to 839 of the family's 1533-position model. Lineage: Bacteria; Bacillati; Bacillota; Bacilli; Caryophanales; Bacillaceae. The record is from RNAcentral.
GAGCGGACAGAUGGGAGCUUGCUCCCUGAUGUUAGCGGCGGACGGGUGAGUAACACGUGGGUAACCUGCCUGUAAGACUGGGAUAACUCCGGGAAACCGGGGCUAAUACCGGAUGGUUGUUUGAACCGCAUGGUUCAGACAUAAAAGGUGGCUUCGGCUACCACUUACAGAUGGACCCGCGGCGCAUUAGCUAGUUGGUGAGGUAACGGCUCACCAAGGCGACGAUGCGUAGCCGACCUGAGAGGGUGAUCGGCCACACUGGGACUGAGACACGGCCCAGACUCCUACGGGAGGCAGCAGUAGGGAAUCUUCCGCAAUGGACGAAAGUCUGACGGAGCAACGCCGCGUGAGUGAUGAAGGUUUUCGGAUCGUAAAGCUCUGUUGUUAGGGAAGAACAAGUGCCGUUCAAAUAGGGCGGCACCUUGACGGUACCUAACCAGAAAGCCACGGCUAACUACGUGCCAGCAGCCGCGGUAAUACGUAGGUGGCAAGCGUUGUCCGGAAUUAUUGGGCGUAAAGGGCUCGCAGGCGGUUUCUUAAGUCUGAUGUGAAAGCCCCCGGCUCAACCGGGGAGGGUCAUUGGAAACUGGGGAACUUGAGUGCAGAAGAGGAGAGUGGAAUUCCACGUGUAGCGGUGAAAUGCGUAGAGAUGUGGAGGAACACCAGGUGGCGAAGGCGACUCUCUGGUCUGUAACUGACGCUGAGGAGCGAAAGCGUGGGGAGCGAACAGGAUUAGAUACCCUGGUAGUCCACGCCGUAACGAUGAGUGCUAAGUGUUAGGGGGUUUUCCGCC